Molecule: long non-coding RNA, 1015 nt
Organism: Astatotilapia calliptera (eastern happy)
Lineage: Eukaryota; Metazoa; Chordata; Actinopteri; Cichliformes; Cichlidae
Source: Ensembl
UGCAUUUCAAGGUCCUGCACCCAUCCGUCGGUAAACUGUACCUGGGCUUGUUGCAGUGACCUGAAGUUACUAAACUUCAUGAGUGUGUGCACUCACUCCAAGAACCGUAUAAUUAUAAAUAUGCAUAUAAAUAUGCUACGAUGAGAUAGCUGACUUCAUCUAACUAGCAAAUGUUGUCCAGGCUACGUUGGUGAUGCAGUUUUUUUUAAUGUGUAUGAUAUUUUUGUCAUGCGAUUUUAAAGCUGGUCCUACAACCGCAUCCAAGAAUAACAUGCAGCUUAUCUCAGAACUGUCGGUGAAAAUUAUUCUUGGAGCUAGGUUUAAUUGAGCUGCAUUUUAAAGAGGUGCAAUUUCACAAUUUGUGUAUAUUUUCUAAGUUCACUAUUUUGUCAUGUGUUGAGAAAAACACAGAUUUUAAAAUUACAUGGUCUAAUAUUUACAUUUAGCAUAACUGCAACAUUAUUUUUUCGUUUUUUUUUUUUUAAAGACUCGAAAGGACUUUAAAUUCAAAGUUUCAGACUUGUGACUUGACUCGGACUUUUACACCAGUGACUUGAGACUCGACUCUGACUUGCCUGACAUUACUUGAGACUUGACUUGAGACUUGAGGAUAAAGACUUGAGACUUACUUGAGACUUGCAAAACAAUGACUUGGUCCCACCUCUGAUUAUUAGAAACCAUUUCUUAUUGUCUCAGUGAAAAGCACACAAUGAAAUACACUGCAAAAAUUGAGGAAAUGUUUAAUCAUCACUGCACAACCCCAAAACAGUUACAUUUCAGAGACAUCCCGCUGUCCAGUCAGGAAGCAUAAACCAGUGUGAAUCUAUUUCACGCUUUCAUGUAAAUUAAAGUCACAACAGGCGCAGUGUCAAGACAAAAACAACUGAUCUCCCCAAAAAGGAAUGGUUUUGCAAGUGGUAACCACAGACUAGUGCUCUAGUCUGUUAUUUCUCCUGACUGAUUUUCCUCUAGUUUUGCUUUUUGUCAGUGUCCUUGUCACUGUGGGUAGCAUGAA